GAUGGACGCUAGCUACAGGCUUAACAAAUGCAAGUCGAGGGGUAACGAGAGGGAAGCUUGCUUUCCUUGUCGACGACCGGCGCACGGGUGAGUAACGCGUAUCCAACCUGCCCCCAACUAGGGAAUAACCUUGCGAAAGUAAGACUAAUACCCUAUAAUUUCCUCAGAUGUCAUCUGACGAGGAAUAAAGAUUUAUCGGUUGUGGAUGGGGAUGCGUCUGAUUAGCUUGUUGGCGUGGUAACGGCCCACCAAGUCAACGAUCAGUAGGUGUUCUGAGAGAGAGGUCCCCCACAUUGGAACUGAGACACGGUCCAAACUCCUACGGGAGGCAGAAGUGAGGAAUAUUGGUCAAUGGGCGUAAACCUGAACCAGACAAGUAGCGUGCAGGAUGACGGCCCUAUGGGUUGUAAACUGCUUUUAUACAGGAAUAAAGUUAGCCACGUGUGGUUAUUUGUAGGUACUGUAUGAAUAAGGACCGGCUAAUUCCGUGCCAGCCGCCGCGGUAA
This 506-nucleotide ribosomal RNA is filed under the name uncultured bacterium. RNAcentral's name for it is "partial 16S ribosomal RNA". It matches the Rfam family "Bacterial small subunit ribosomal RNA", at positions 28 to 523 of the family's 1533-position model. The record is from RNAcentral.